RNAcentral lists this RNase P RNA (305 nucleotides) under Methanocella conradii HZ254. RNAcentral describes it as "Methanocella sp. HZ254 Archaeal RNase P". It matches the Rfam family "Archaeal RNase P". Rfam says of the family: Ribonuclease P (RNase P) is a ubiquitous endoribonuclease, found in archaea, bacteria and eukarya as well as chloroplasts and mitochondria. Its best characterised activity is the generation of mature 5'-ends of tRNAs by cleaving the 5'-leader elements of precursor-tRNAs. The record is from Rfam by way of RNAcentral. RNAcentral also lists the same sequence under 1 other name. Lineage: Archaea; Methanobacteriati; Methanobacteriota; Methanomicrobia; Methanocellales; Methanocellaceae.
GAGAGGGGAGGGACGGCUGCCGCCUUUUAGGUGAGGAAAGUCCCCCCACCACCUGGACACGCAAAUGCCCGUAAGGGCAUACGGCGAGAGCCGUGGCAAUGGCACAGAAACGAUACGGAGCCGGGUUAAUGCUAUGAUUCGGAUACGAUGAGGCCGCCCGUGCGCCGAUGAAACGGUGAAUCCUUGCGGGUGCAAGCUGGAGCGGGCCGCUGAAGGGAGUCCAGCCCUUGGCCCCGGUAGAAGCGCUUAGAUGAAUGCCGUCGGCCUUCGGGCCAUGAACAUAAGGGGGCUUACUAUCCCGACUC